GGGCAUUAAGGUGGGUGAAUGUGAAAGGGAACUGCAAGAUCUAGACUAAAGUAGCUGAUACGGUAAAAGCGCAGAAUUUGAGAAUAUUUUUAAGCUGUUUUGGCCCAGAUGUUGAAUUUACUUGCAAAUUCACUCACAAUUUUUGGAAAUGUUUUGGAAUAGAAUGUUAUAAAGGGACACUAUUGUCACACAGACCACUUCUUUAAGAUGAAAGUCUGGUCCUGUAGGUUUAACCAUGCAAUGUAAAACAUUUCAGUUUGAGAAACUGCAAUGUUUCCAUCUGCAUUGUUAAACACUCCUUCAGUGGCAUAAUAAUAAUAAUAAUAAUAAUAAUUUGAACCAAUGCUUUCCUAUGGGGGAAAUUUAUGCGCAUGCACAUCAGGCCUCCAGUGCUCCUCUAUGAGUACCGGGGCGGGCAGGGAGACGACCUUAGCAAUAGGUGCUUUAGUGUUCAUGCUAUACAGAACUUGUUACCGACCAUGCGAAGAUUUGCGGCUGUCAAAAAAUCGCUACUUUUCAGUCUGCUGAUGUCACUCUCUGCCUCUUAAGGUUACUUAUUCUGAAGGAAAUGUCUCUAGCAUUUUUGAUAGUAAAGUUUAAACCUCGUAAUCAGCAUUCCAAUAUUAAUUUUUUAAAUGCCAUUUUGGGAUUUCAGCAGAUAUUUGACCUUUUGUGAGUAAAUCUUAGACUAAUCUGGCUAUUUAAUUGUCUACUGGAGGUAAAGGGAGCCUUGGGAGUGAAGUGAAAAAGCACCUCUAUCAGUGAUUUAAGCAAAUUCUGCAUUGAUUGGCUAGAUUACCAAGAAUGGCAUUAGUUAAAGGGUUAAUCCAACCAUCAUGACAACUACAGUGAUUUGAAGUGGUCAUGGUGUCUGGAGUCUGCAUGUGCAGCGUCUCGCUGGGAAGUGCUGCGCAUACAGAGAUUAAGCCCUUUACUCCCAAAAGGUGUAACUCUACCUCUGGCACUGUUCACUGGUGUGCCAUUGGCUUGCUAAUGUGAACUUUCUUUGCACUGGGUGCCAUUAAUUGGCUGAGAACGGUUCGCUGAAUCUGAUGCUUUCAGCCAGUGAAUAGCCAGCAGGAUUUGCAUAACAGCUGUGCAUAAGCUGUUCUGCUGUGAAGCAGGAUUUGACAGCAUAACAGGUGCCUGGCAAGAGGGCCAGGGUACUCUUGGCACUAGUUACGCAUUAUAAGUAAUGCUUUAUGUAUGAG
Non-coding RNA from Pelobates cultripes (western spadefoot toad), 1211 nucleotides. The record is from the annotation of a GenBank genome assembly. Lineage: Eukaryota; Metazoa; Chordata; Amphibia; Anura; Pelobatidae.